CGCCUCUUGAUUAGAAUAAGAGGUCUUGCCUGCCCAGUGACUUGUCAACGGCCGCAGUAUCCUAACCGUGCGAAGGUAGCGUAAUCACUUGUUUUUUAAAUAAGACCAGUAUGAAAGGCGCCACGAGGGUUAAACUGUCUCCUUUUCUUAUCAGUGAAACUAAUCUUCCCGUGAAGAAGCGGGAAUAAACUUAUAAGACGAAAGACCCUAUGGAGCUUCAAACAAAAAACACUGCUUAAUCAAUUUUUACAUCUCACCGCAUUUUGAUUUUUAGUUUUAGGUUGGGGUGACCACGGGAAAACCUACCCUCCAUGAUGAACGGGACUAACCCCUAAUAAAAGAGUCACAACUCUUUACUCAGUAAACUGACACCCAUUGAUCCAAUAUUUUGAUCAACGAACCAGUUACCCUAGGGAUAACAGCGCAAUCCGCUUCAAGAGUUCAUAUCGACAGGCGGGUUUCGACCUCG
Molecule: ribosomal RNA, 469 nt
Filed under: Niceforonia dolops
Lineage: Eukaryota; Metazoa; Chordata; Amphibia; Anura; Strabomantidae
Description: Hypodactylus dolops partial 16S ribosomal RNA
Rfam family: Bacterial large subunit ribosomal RNA
Source: RNAcentral